CGGCUGUACUUGCAGCAGACCUGCCAGGCCACAGCCAGAGCUUUGAUUCAUUUCAUUUCUUACUGACCCCAUCACAGAGUGGAAGGAUGGCCAACAUUUCAAUGGGUGGUGGAGAGCUGCCAGAUUUAAAAGGAAGACUAAUGAUCGAGGAGGAUUCUAAAGGGUAAGAUUUGCUUUUGAAAUGACAGCACAUAUGUCAUGCUGCCUAAAUGAUGGUGCUUAGUGGGGGUCCAGGAAAAGAGACACACAUUAUUUCAUAGUUUGUUAACAAUUAAUAAAUCCCAUCUCAGUGAAUUAGCUCAGAUCGGGUUUGGUUUUUGCUCAAGUUUAAGUUAACGACAAGUAAGUGGAAGUUCUUCUCCAUUUGGUUUUUUAGGGGUCCAGCGUCUUUCCAUCUUUUGACCCUGUCAGGUCUACACCAUUUACUCCAAGUGAAAAAGAGAUAAUGGAGGAAAACGCGACCUGCAGGAGGGUGACGUUGGGGUUGACUCACUCUUCCUUUCAAUCUCAGUAGCCAACUUUGACAUCCCAGUGGGUACAUACUUAAGGUAUCUACAAGGCAGGAGACCCCCUACAAAAUGUUCUUUGGAAAAUUUUGAUAUGUGAAUAAACAUAUCCAGGUAAUCAUUCGAGGAGAACCAGGAACUACCUUGGCUUCUCUGAUACAUCUCUGACUUAUUACUUAAAUUAGCGUUGCUUGGGUUGACAUGUGCACCACCACUUUGCAUUACUUGAGUCUCUGAGCAUCUUAUCAGGACCUAAUCAAUGGCCCAGCUUCAUGUAUGAAUCAGCUGGGUGAGGCCAGGGAAAAAGAAAGGCAGGAGCAACCCAUUUGUGGAGAGCACUGAAUCGGAGCCCAGAGGCUAACACUGCAGUGGUUCUCUGUAUAACACUCAGCCUAUUUUAGGUAAAACCAUAGCACUGUGAAAGGCAAAGUCCCCUGAACCAAGCGCCAGGGAUGCUGGGUCUAAUUUUUGUCUAUGUCAUCGGCUUGAUAUAAGACCUCAGGCUGUUCACUAUUGGCUUGUGUAAAUAUAGCUCCUUUCUCAUCUGCAACUUCAUCCAAUGUUCCUACCUUGUGGUAGGUAUCUAUGGAAAGGCAAACAAUAAAAGCACUUCAAAAAGUGAGAAAUGCUUGCUUUAAUCUUCUUAAGAGUACAAGUUGGGCCCUCUGAAGCCAAAUCCUACACUGCAGAAAAUAUAUUAGAGUAAGGCUUUCAUUCUUAGGCAAUUUAUUGGAAAAAUAUUUUUUAAAUUCCUG
This 1261-nucleotide long non-coding RNA is filed under the name Callithrix jacchus (white-tufted-ear marmoset). RNAcentral describes it as "lncRNA (ENSCJAG00000075614.1)". The record is from RNAcentral. Lineage: Eukaryota; Metazoa; Chordata; Mammalia; Primates; Cebidae.